RNAcentral lists this ribosomal RNA (1590 nucleotides) under Triticum aestivum (bread wheat). Its description in RNAcentral is "partial small subunit ribosomal RNA". The record is from RNAcentral. Lineage: Eukaryota; Viridiplantae; Streptophyta; Magnoliopsida; Poales; Poaceae.
AUGACAGCCAGUCAUUCCACUGCCCCUGUCUUUUCUCCUCCCUUCCCUAAUCUUCCAUGGUCGCCAGAUCCCUCCCUCCAUAGCUGGCGCUCCCUGCGUUCAAGCUUGGCAUGCUCGCCGGUGACGCCGGCCCCUUACCGCACACGCCGGACUACCGACCUCUCAGGCGGGGGGCGCACGCCGACCCCAGGAAGAGAGAAGCGAAGAUUUUGUGCCGGCUUCUUGCUCAGCUGGGAAUUUGAAGAGGACGGCUGUGGCCAUGGCCUUGGAGGAGGUGGAAGUUCCCGUCCCCACAGAGAAGUUGUCCACGGAUCCAAAUCUAGUCAUCCUAGUCCACCAUGCGUUCCCUUAUUCAACUGGAUGACCGCAGAGACGGGGGAAGGCGGGGUGGUGUUGUGCUGGUGGCCACCGGGAGCUUCAACCUUCCCACCUACAUGCACAGGCAUGUUUGAGCUUGCGAAGGAUGAGUUGCAGCAGCGAGGUACAUGCGUACCAUUGGAUUUUCGCUAUCACAUAAGGCAAUGCAGAAAGGACGGCUUAGCUGAUCAAGGAAGUGUCAAGGUAAUGCUGCUAUGUGGUUCUGACCUGCUCGAGUCAUUCAGCAAGCCAGGGGUUUGGAUUCCAGAUCAGGUACAAAACUUGAACACUUUUUGUCAAAGGAAGAAGUCGAACCUAAAGAAGUCCUCGGAAGAAUCACAGCUGCGUGUGCCCGGCUGGUUCAGGGGACGCGACAGGCGCUGGCGCCCUGCCCCGGCGGGCGUGUGCGUGGCGGCGUGGGUGCCAGUGCAGGGCGGGCACGGCGGUGCGGGUGCCGUGGCAGGCUCUCUCCUGGGCAAUGGCGAUCUCGCAGGACGGAUGCCACGCUACGAGCGGCAACAAUCGGCGAUGGCGAUCGUGCACGGAGGUGACGGGACGGUGCAGUGCGGCGUGGUCGCCGCGCAGGCAGGAGACGCCAUUGGUUGGCGGCGGGACGCGCGGGGCUGGUCGUUCGACUACUACUCUCCUGGUGAAGUACGUCAAUCCCUCGCACAGCCUUCAUCGUUGUCCGUUAUUAUCCUCCUCAAUCACCUCGCACAGCCGCCGCCGCCGCCGACCCGACCCUCGACCGUGGCGACGACGGCGUCCCUCCUGUCGGUCGCGCCGCCGCUGCCCCAAAUCGUCACACAGCCGCAGCUGCCUAUACUUUUUCUCGCCCCUCCCCUAAUCCAGUUUCCGUCCAAAGCCGCCACCGCAAACAAGGGAUCCCACCGGACCUCUCCGCCGCCGCAAUCAAGUGAUCCCGCCGGACCUCGCCGCCGCCGCCAUCAAGGGAUCCCGCCGGACCUCGUCGCCGCCGCAAUCAAGGGAUCCCGCUGGAUUGCCGCCAGGUUUCUGGCCCGCCGCCAGGAGCCGCAGGAACUGCAUGCCAUCAGGCACGGCGUGCCGAGCCCGCCGAAGCCUCCUCUGCCCCACCGCCCCUGCAGCGCAUCCCUCCGUCGAGCAUCCGGUCAUGCCGAGCAACGCCGCGGACCAGUCCGUAGGCAGGUAGCCACCCUUCCUCCACCCACUUCCGUGACCCCCUCCCAUUACCUUCCCAUCACACUAGAUUGA